Long non-coding RNA from Mercenaria mercenaria, 319 nucleotides. RefSeq lists it as uncharacterized. The transcript is spliced from 3 exons. Lineage: Eukaryota; Metazoa; Mollusca; Bivalvia; Venerida; Veneridae. The record is from RefSeq and is a predicted model, not a curated record.
UUGUAAGUAUAACAUUACAGUGACUGCAACUACCGAUGCGGGCAGCUCAUCCUCUUUAACAGUAACAGGACAGACUGCUGAAGCUCUGCCUGGUAGUAUUCGCCGCUUGAGUCUAAAAUCAGAGGAUGAUGUUACUAAAGAGAGAUCUGUAGAGGUAACAUGGAUUCCACCAAAAGAAAGGGAUAGAAAUGGAAUCAUCCAGAGAUAUUAUAUCGAAUUCAAAAGCAAUGAUGGUAAAACAGUCAGUUUUGGCACAAACAAUAUUACGACUAACUAUUUUUAUCAAGGCAUGUUUCCUGGUGUGUACUCUGUCAAGGUU